RNAcentral lists this ribosomal RNA (433 nucleotides) under uncultured bacterium. RNAcentral describes it as "partial 16S ribosomal RNA". It matches the Rfam family "Bacterial small subunit ribosomal RNA", at positions 29 to 507 of the family's 1533-position model. The record is from RNAcentral.
AACGAACGCUGGCGGCAUGCCUAACACAUGCAAGUCGAACGAGACCUUCGGGUCUAGUGGCGCACGGGUGCGUAACGCGUGGGAAUCUGCCCUUGGGUUCGGAAUAACAGUUGGAAACGACUGCUAAUACCGGAUGAUGACGUAAGUCCAAAGAUUUAUCGCCCAGGGGUGAGCCCGCGUAGGAUUAGCUAGUUGGUGGGGUAAAGGCCUACCAAGGCGACGAUCCUUAGCUGGUCUGAGAGGAUGAUCAGCCACACUGGGACUGAGACACGGCCCAGACUCCUACGGGAGGCAGCAGUGGGGAAUAUUGGACAAUGGGCGAAAGCCUGAUCCAGCAAUGCCGCGUGAGUGAUGAAGGCCUUAGGGUUGUAAAGCUCUUUUACCCGGGAUGAUAAUGACAGUACCGGGAGAAUAAGCCCCGGCUAACUCCGUG